UAUCAACAGCGUGAGUGCAAG
RNAcentral lists this non-coding RNA (21 nucleotides) under Caenorhabditis elegans. Lineage: Eukaryota; Metazoa; Nematoda; Chromadorea; Rhabditida; Rhabditidae. The record is from RNAcentral.